GAUGAAGAACGUAGCGAAAUGCGAUAAGUAGUGUGAAUUGCAGAAUUCAGUGAAUCAUCGAAUGUUUGAACGCUCAUUGCGUCCCUUGGUAUCCCGAGGGGCAUGCCUGUUCGAGCGUCAUUUCACCACUCAAGCCUGGCUUGGUGUUGGGCGACGUCCUCUUUGGGGACGCGCCUCGAAACGCUCGGCGGCGUGGCACCGGCUUUAAGCGUAGCAGAAUCUUUCGCUUUGGAAGUCGGGGCCCCGUCUGCCGGAAGACCUGCUCGCAAGGUUGACCUCGGAUCAGGCAGGGAUACCCGCUGAACUUAAGCAUAUCAAUAAGCGGAGGA
Molecule: unclassified non-coding RNA, 329 nt
Filed under: soil metagenome
Description: partial contains 5.8S ribosomal RNA, internal transcribed spacer 2, and large subunit ribosomal RNA
Rfam family: 5.8S ribosomal RNA (bases 1-120)
Source: RNAcentral